Molecule: ribosomal RNA, 391 nt
Filed under: uncultured bacterium
Lineage: Bacteria
Description: bacterial SSU rRNA
Rfam family: Bacterial small subunit ribosomal RNA
Source: RNAcentral
UUGCGCAAUGGGCGAAAGCCUGACGCAGCCAUGCCGCGUGAAUGAUGAAGGUCUUAGGAUUGUAAAAUUCUUUCAGCAGGGACGAUAAUGGCGGUACCUGCAGAAGAAGCCCCGGCUAACUUCGUGCCAGCAGCCGCGGUAAUACGAAGGGGGCUAGCGUUGCUCGGAAUUACUGGGCGUAAAGGGCGCGUAGGCGGGUCGUUAAGUUAGAGGUGAAAGCCCAGGGCUCAACCCUGGAAUUGCCUUUAAAACUGGCGGCCUUGAGUAUGGCAGAGGUGUGUGGAACUCCGAGUGUAGAGGUGAAAUUCGUAGAUAUUCGGAAGAACACCAGUGGCAAAGGCGACACACUGGGCCAUUACUGACGCUGAGGCGCGAAAGCGUGGGGAGCAAA